Molecule: ribosomal RNA, 1251 nt
Filed under: Micrococcus luteus
Lineage: Bacteria; Bacillati; Actinomycetota; Actinomycetes; Micrococcales; Micrococcaceae
Description: bacterial SSU rRNA
Rfam family: Bacterial small subunit ribosomal RNA
Source: RNAcentral
CUGGCUCAGGAUGAACGCUGGCGGCGUGCUUAACACAUGCAAGUCGAACGAUGAAGCCCAGCUUGCUGGGUGGAUUAGUGGCGAACGGGUGAGUAACACGUGAGUAACCUGCCCUUAACUCUGGGAUAAGCCUGGGAAACUGGGUCUAAUACCGGAUAGGAGCGUCCACCGCAUGGUGGGUGUUGGAAAGAUUUAUCGGUUUUGGAUGGACUCGCGGCCUAUCAGCUUGUUGGUGAGGUAAUGGCUCACCAAGGCGACGACGGGUAGCCGGCCUGAGAGGGUGACCGGCCACACUGGGACUGAGACACGGCCCAGACUCCUACGGGAGGCAGCAGUGGGGAAUAUUGCACAAUGGGCGAAAGCCUGAUGCAGCGACGCCGCGUGAGGGAUGACGGCCUUCGGGUUGUAAACCUCUUUCAGUAGGGAAGAAGCGAAAGUGACGGUACCUGCAGAAGAAGCACCGGCUAACUACGUGCCAGCAGCCGCGGUAAUACGUAGGGUGCGAGCGUUAUCCGGAAUUAUUGGGCGUAAAGAGCUCGUAGGCGGUUUGUCGCGUCUGUCGUGAAAGUCCGGGGCUUAACCCCGGAUCUGCGGUGGGUACGGGCAGACUAGAGUGCAGUAGGGGAGACUGGAAUUCCUGGUGUAGCGGUGGAAUGCGCAGAUAUCAGGAGGAACACCGAUGGCGAAGGCAGGUCUCUGGGCUGUAACUGACGCUGAGGAGCGAAAGCAUGGGGAGCGAACAGGAUUAGAUACCCUGGUAGUCCAUGCCGUAAACGUUGGGCACUAGGUGUGGGGACCAUUCCACGGUUUCCGCGCCGCAGCUAACGCAUUAAGUGCCCCGCCUGGGGAGUACGGCCGCAAGGCUAAAACUCAAAGGAAUUGACGGGGGCCCGCACAAGCGGCGGAGCAUGCGGAUUAAUUCGAUGCAACGCGAAGAACCUUACCAAGGCUUGACAUGUUCCCGAUCGCCGUAGAGAUACGAUUUCCCCUUUGGGGCGGGUUCACAGGUGGUGCAUGGUUGUCGUCAGCUCGUGUCGUGAGAUGUUGGGUUAAGUCCCGCAACGAGCGCAACCCUCGUUCCAUGUUGCCAGCACGUAAUGGUGGGGACUCAUGGGAGACUGCCGGGGUCAACUCGGAGGAAGGUGAGGACGACGUCAAAUCAUCAUGCCCCUUAUGUCUUGGGCUUCACGCAUGCUACAAUGGCCGGUACAAUGGGUUGCGAUACUGUGAGGUGGAGCUAAUCCCAAAAAG